This 275-nucleotide long non-coding RNA is filed under the name Elaeis guineensis (African oil palm). Its description in RNAcentral is "long non-coding RNA (EGUI_LNC017265)". Lineage: Eukaryota; Viridiplantae; Streptophyta; Magnoliopsida; Arecales; Arecaceae. The record is from RNAcentral.
AGGUAGAGGCAGAGGUUGUGGUAGGACUGCUAGGCGGACUAGACAGCCAGUUUUGGGAGAGAAUGUUACCCCACCUCCCAAUGCUCAAGGUGGUAUGGCUGAUGUAGUUUCUGAGUUAAAAGGAGUUUACCGAGCUAUAGAGAACCUUGCAGGGUUGAUGGCAGGUCAUGAUAGGUUUGGGACACAGCAUAAUACAGGGGCAGGACUACAGCCCAAUGAUGGUAUUGAUGUAUCUCUUCCAGAUUUCCUAAAGCUUAAGCCCUAUAUUUUCUGGG